RNAcentral lists this ribosomal RNA (165 nucleotides) under uncultured bacterium. RNAcentral's name for it is "partial 16S rRNA". It matches the Rfam family "Bacterial small subunit ribosomal RNA", at positions 355 to 511 of the family's 1533-position model. The record is from RNAcentral.
UAGGGAACCUUCGGCAAUGGGGGCAACCCUGACCGAGCAACGCCGCGUGAGUGAAGAAGGUUUUCGGAUCGUAAAGCUCUGUUGUAAGAGAAGAACGUGUGUGAGAGUGGAAAGUUCACACAGUGACGGUAACUUACCAGAAAGGGACGGCUAACUACGUGCCAG